GCAUUUCAGUCGUGAGGAGGUAGUGUAGUUAUAGCUGCAUUAUUUGACGUUAGCGACAGAAGAAGCACCGGCUAACUCCGUGCCAGCAGCCGCGGUAAUACGGAGGGUGCGAGCGUUUAAUCGGAAUUACUGGGCGUAAAGCGCAUGCAGGUGGUUUGUUAAGUCAGAUGUGAAAGCCCGGGGCUCAACCUCGGAAUUGCAUUUGAAACUGGCAGACUAGAGUACUGUAGAGGGGGUAGAAUUUCAGGUGUAGCGGUGAAAAUGCGUAGAGAUCUGAAGGAAUACCGGUGGCGAAGGCGGCCCCCUGGACAGAUACUGACACUCAGAUGCGAAAGCGUGGGGAGCAAACAGGAUUAGAUACCCUGGUAG
Molecule: ribosomal RNA, 369 nt
Filed under: uncultured bacterium
Lineage: Bacteria
Description: bacterial SSU rRNA
Rfam family: Bacterial small subunit ribosomal RNA
Source: RNAcentral